Long non-coding RNA from Oreochromis aureus, 3405 nucleotides. Lineage: Eukaryota; Metazoa; Chordata; Actinopteri; Cichliformes; Cichlidae. The record is from Ensembl.
AAAGAAACAAAAAAAAAGUUUGCAAACAGGAAAUUAAAAAUGGUCUCUGAUGUAAGUUUAAAUAAAGAUUCAAAUUAAAUCAAAAAUAUUUUAUUUUCCAGUCCAAAACAACAAGUUCCCAACGUUUACAGAUGAUUCAGUUCAUGAAUUCACAAUUGCGGUCGACAUGCCCUGGAGCUGGUCUCAUCUUUAGGAUGAUGUUCCUAGCUGCUGAUAACCAUGCUAAAGCUCUGUCACGACUUCAGCCAUGUGAGACGUGCAUGAGGCUCUUUACAGGAUCAUAUAUACAACUGUGCUUAAUUACAGUAAAACUGAACAAAACAGAAUUGUUGUAUAUCAUGAAGUCUUUAUGUCAAUUACACAGUUUAACUGAUUACAUAUAUAGUUAAAUACUUAUGUGGUCCAACACACAAAUUGGGGGGUACAACAAACAAACUAGGAGACUGUGUCGCUUCCCUUGUUUAAUAGUUUGCUGUCGCAUUUCACUCAUUGGCUAACAAGACUGAAAUGCUAUUCGCUUAGCAAGCAUCAUCCUGGGGUGUUUCUGACAGGGAAGCUCACAUAAACAUUACCAGGUACCAACGUGAUGCAUUAAUUUAACUUGACAUCACAAGUCCAGGGCGCUCGUGUUGUGCCAAAGUUAUGGUCUGCCAAAAACAGAUGUCCAGUAUUUGCCAAAAAGAGAUGUUUAUGUAAGUAAAUGUUUUUGUUUUUGGUAACAGUGAAACAGUUUAUUUGCAGCGUGGGAUUGUUUGUGUUCGGAGUACGAACCGAGAUUCCUGAGGAUUUUGUCACACUGGUCACAGAUGUAGCUCUUGGUGUUACGAUGAGCUGAAUGUGAGAAGCUUCUGUCAUAGUGUCUACAGUUGUAUGGUUUCUCUCCUGUGUGGAUUCCUUCAUGUCUCUUAAGCUGGCUAAUAGUGGUGAAGGAUGACCCACACUGGUCACAGACGUGCUUUUUAACCCCACUGUGACAGAGUUCAUGUUUUUUUUUAUUCACUCGGUGUGGUGAAGCCUCUCUCACAUUCUUUGCAGUAAUCCAAAUCCAAAUCCAGUUUAUUUACAUAGCACGUUUAAAAACAAAAAGUUUGCCCAAAGUGCUGUACAGAACACAGGGUAAAACACAAGAUACAACCACUGACACUCACAUAAAACAUAAUAAAACACAUAAAACUAUAUCAACUCAAGCCAGUCUGAACGCUAUCGAAAAAAGGUGUGUUUUCAAAAGCAUUUUAAAAACAGGAAACAAAGAUGCCUGUCUAAUAUUUAAAGGCAGCGUAUUCCAAAGUUUUGGGGCCAUAACUGAAAAGGCUUGUUCUCCUCUACUUUAAGCCUUGAUUUUGGGACAACCAACAGCAGCUGGUCAGCUGAUCUGAGGGUCCGUGAAGGAAUAUAAGGCUGAAGUAACUCGGAAAGGAUUGGGGAGCAAGACCAUUAAGGCAUUUAUAAACCAGUGUUAGGACUUUGAAAUUAAUUCUGUGAUGAACAGGAAGCCAAUGAAGAGAAGACAGGAUAGGUGUUACAUGUUCAUAGCUGUGGGUACCAGUUAAGAGGCGGGCAGCAGCAUUUUGAAUGAGCUGAAGACGAGCAAGCGAUCACUGCUUGACUCCAAAAAAACAGUGCAUUACAGUAGUCAAGCCGUGUUGAAAUAAAGGCAUGUAUUACCUUCUCCAUGUCACGUCUUGACAAAACUGGCUUCAGCUUAGCUAUUUGCCUCAGGUGGAAAAAGCUUUUUUGCAACACCAAACUAAUAUGUUUGUCCAAUUUAAAAUCUGAGUCCAUAAUGACUCCCAAGUUUGUCACAUGCUGCUUGAUAUAAGACCCUAGCAAACCACAAUUUACAAGCGGGCUGCAUGAAAUAUUAUUAGGUCUAAAUACAAUCACCUUCGUUUUACUCUCAUUGAAACUCUAAACGUUCAGAGCCAUCCAAGCUUUGACAUCUUCAAGGCAGUUCAAAAGGAUUUGGAUGGAGCCUGGGCCAUUUGGUGCUGAAGGCAAAUAAAUUUAGCAGUCGUCUGCAUAGCAGUGAAAGGAUAUUUCGUGUUUUCUAAAAAUAGACCCCAAAGGGAGCAGGUAUAAUGAAAAAAAGAAGAGGGCCAAGGAUUGAGCCCUGGGGCACCCCACAAGGAAGGGGGGCUGAGGUGGACUCAAAAUUUUCAACUUUAACGGUAAACAUUCUGCCACUAAAAUAUGAGCGAAGCCAAUUCAGUGCUGCACCUUUAAUGUCAACCAGGUGUUCGAAACGAGAGAUAAGAAUAUCGUGGUCAACAGUGUCAAACGCUGCAGUAAGAUCUAACAGCACAAGGAUCACAGAACUUCCACAAUCAGUAGCUAAAAAGAUAUCGUUAAAAACACGUAAAAGUGCUGUUUCAGUGGAGUGUAGAUGUUUAAAACCGGACUGAAAAAGUUCUAUGAUGCCAUUAGCAUCAAGAAACGUAUUAAGUUGGGUAAAAACUAUUUUUCCAAUAACUUUGAAAGGAAUGGAAGUCUUAAAAUAGGUCUAAAAUUUGAGCAAACUAAAGGGUCAAGGCCAUUUUUUUUUAAAAUAAAGGGCUAACAACUGCAUGUUCAUUUUAUCUCCAGUGUGUCUACACUAGUGAUGGGUCGGUCGCGAACGAAAUGGCUCUUAGAGCCGGAUCUUUGAAGUGAACGACGCGAGCAGGCUCCUUAUCGCGAGCCGUGGGUUUUUUUUUUUCCCCCUUUCUCUCACCCUCUCUCUCUCUCUCUCUCUCUCGCACUUUUUUUUCCGCUUCACUCCGCACGCGAGCCUUGUGCUUUGCGCUGGGCAGUGGGGGGGGAGGGGCGGUAGUUACACUGGCAGUAGCACAGGAACAGAGCGGGAGGGAGGGAGAGAGAAAGAGAGCCAGGGACAACAACGUCACAUUAGAAAGUUCUGUGCUCAUAAAGAGCUGAAGCUCCCCCAGGUAAUUAAAGGUCACGAGCUUCGUUCGGCGAUAGGUCCGGACAAUCCAUUGGAGGAGAUGCUGGGAGCUUAAGAAAGAUCGCACACAUGCUUACAAAACACAUAUAUAUCACAUAACCUAGAAACAGACCUGAAUAGAGGCCUGAAUGUGUUCAGCAAACAUGUUCCAUUUGAGUCUGCCUAGUAACAGAUGACGAGAAGGAGAGAACCAGCCCAUGGGGACCCAGAGGCCUGAGACCAUCGCCUUAUUUGGAAGAAGAUACCAGAAAGAGGAACUCUUGUGUCUGCAUUAUUUCUAAAAAUUGAUCAAUGUUCUUAAGAUGCAAAUUAUGUGCUUGUAAACGCAUGAGGGGGCGUCAUAAUACCCUGACAUUAUAAAAGCAAAUUGAAAUGUAUUUUUGGUGGAGACCCAUGCUGAUGUGUGCAGUAAUAUCUCCCCGCGCGUGUGUUCAAAAUAAAUAAUUGCUUUGACCCAACCCUUG